AUUAGGCUUUUUAUAAAAGUCUUGAAUGAAGGAGCUGACGAUUUUUAAGCUUUCUUAGCCUCGGGGAGGAAAUUUAUCUCUAAGUUAAAAAGCUUAGCUAUUUGAGGGGACGAUAAGACCCUAUAAAGCUUUACUGGUCUGCGCGAAGAAGAAGAGGAAAACAUUUGGUCAAGCUAGUUGAGCUGGGGCGGCGAUUAAAACUCUUUAAUGGAAAAAACAAGAAAUUCUUGAACUAAUAGAUCUAUUAAGAUUUAGAUUAAGCUACUUUAGGGAUAACAGCGCAAUCUUUUUAGAGAGAUCUUAUUGAUAAAAAGGACUUGCGACCUCGAUGUUGAAUUGAGGGGCCUAAAUUAAGCAGAAAUAAUUUAAGGGAGUCUGUUCGACUUUUAAUUCCUCA
RNAcentral lists this ribosomal RNA (397 nucleotides) under Mastigoniscus aff. latus 1 TR-2023a. RNAcentral describes it as "partial 16S ribosomal RNA". It matches the Rfam family "Bacterial large subunit ribosomal RNA", at positions 1967 to 2598 of the family's 2925-position model. The record is from RNAcentral. Lineage: Eukaryota; Metazoa; Arthropoda; Malacostraca; Isopoda; Haploniscidae.